UGACCUCAAAUCAGGUAGGACUACCCGCUGAACUUAAGCAUAUCAAUAAGCGGAGGAAAAGAAACUAACAAGGAUUCCCCUAGUAACUGCGAGUGAAGCGGGAAAAGCUCAAAUUUAAAAUCUGGCGGUCUUUUGGCUGUCCGAGUUGUAAUCUAGAGAAGUGUUAUCCGCGCUGGACCGUGUACAAGUCUCCUGGAAUGGAGCGUCAUAGAGGGUGAGAAUCCCGUCUUUGACACGGACUACCAGGGCUUUUGUGAUGCGCUCUCAAAGAGUCGAGUUGUUUGGGAAUGCAGCUCAAAAUGGGUGGUAAAUUCCAUCUAAAGCUAAAUAUUGGCGAGAGACCGAUAGCGAACAAGUACCGUGAGGGAAAGAUGAAAAGAACUUUGGAAAGAGAGUUAAACAGUACGUGAAAUUGCUGAAAGGGAAACGCUUGAAGUCAGUCGCGUUGUCCAGGGAUCAGCCUUGCUUUUGCUCGGUGCACUUUCUGGUUGACGGGUCAGCAUCAAUUUUGACCAUUGGAAAAAGAUUAAGGGAAUGUGACAUCUUUGGAUGUGUUAUAGCCCUUGGUUGCAUACGAUGGUUGGGAUUGAGGAACUCAGCACGCCGCAAGGCCGGGUUUAACCACGUACGUGCUAGGAUGCUGC
RNAcentral lists this ribosomal RNA (644 nucleotides) under Cortinarius sp. F16480. Its description in RNAcentral is "eukaryotic LSU rRNA". It matches the Rfam family "Eukaryotic large subunit ribosomal RNA", at positions 1 to 629 of the family's 3401-position model. The record is from RNAcentral. Lineage: Eukaryota; Fungi; Basidiomycota; Agaricomycetes; Agaricales; Cortinariaceae.